ACUCGAGGAGGGGUUUUAGUCGGUAAGCGCUUUGGCGAAUCCGACACAUUUCCCCUUUACAGGGGGUGUCUUUUGAAAAUUUCCCCUCCUCG
Molecule: non-coding RNA, 92 nt
Organism: Agrilus planipennis (emerald ash borer)
Lineage: Eukaryota; Metazoa; Arthropoda; Insecta; Coleoptera; Buprestidae
Source: Rfam